GCAGGGUGUACAUGUGGCUGUAACUAGUAGGCUGGAAUUCUAUGAUCAGUUUCUAUAAAUUGACUGUUGGAAACUGAUUGUUGAAAAACUGCCUUGGUGAGUUAAACUGUGUCAUAUGGGAAACAAUGUAGCCAUAUGGUGGUCAGAACUAAGGCCUUGAUUACAACUGCUUUGGACAUCCCCUCCCCCCUGGCAUCUGAUUACCAACCCCCCUAUUCAUCCUCCAGAGCUAGAGUAGCCACGCCCCUAUUCUUCUUCCC
Molecule: non-coding RNA, 260 nt
Organism: Pelobates cultripes (western spadefoot toad)
Lineage: Eukaryota; Metazoa; Chordata; Amphibia; Anura; Pelobatidae
Source: the annotation of a GenBank genome assembly